This 379-nucleotide unclassified non-coding RNA is filed under the name uncultured Actinomycetes bacterium. RNAcentral describes it as "uncultured actinobacterium contains 16S-23S intergenic spacer region". Lineage: Bacteria; Bacillati; Actinomycetota; Actinomycetes. The record is from RNAcentral.
UCCGAGUUGACCCCGGCAGUCUCCUACGAGUCCCCGGCAUUACCCGCUGGCAACAUAGGACGAGGGUUGCGCUCGUUGCGGGACUUAACCCAACAUCUCACGACACGAGCUGACGACAACCAUGCACCACCUGUGAACCGGCCCCAAAGGGGAAACCACAUUUCUGCGCCGGUCAUCCACAUGUCAAGCCCAGGUAAGGUUCUUCGCGUUGCGUCGAAUUAAACCACAUGCUCCGCUGCUUGUGCGGGCCCCCGUCAAUUCCUUUGAGUUUCAGCCUUGCGGCCGUACUCCCCAGGCGGGGCACUUAUCGCGUUAGCUACGGCACUGACGGGGUCGCUCCCCCCAGCACCUAGUGCCCAUCGUUCACGGCGUGGACUAC